AUUGAACGCUGGCGGCAUGCCUUACACAUGCAAGUCGAACGGCAGCAUGGAGAGCUUGCUCUCUGAUGGCGAGUGGCGAACGGGUGAGUAAUGCAUCGGAACGUACCGUGUAAUGGGGGAUAACGUAGCGAACGUUACGCUAAUACCGCAUACGACCCGAGGGUGAAAGCAGGGGAUCGGAAGACAUUGCGUUAUACGAGCGGCCGAUGUCAGAUUAGCUAGUUGGUGAGGUAAAGGCUCACCAAGGCGACGAUCUGUUGCGCGUCUGAGAGGAUGAUCCGCCACACUGGGACUGAGACACGGCCCAGACUCCUACGGGAGGCAGCAGUGGGGAAUUUUGGACAAUGGGGGCAACCCUGAUCCAGCCAUGCCGCGUGAGUGAAGAAGGCCUUCGGGUUGUAAAGCUCUUUCGGCCGGGAAGAAAUCGCACAGGCUAAUACUCUGUGUGGAUGACGGUACCGGCAUAAGAAGCACCGGCUAACUACGUGCCAGCCGCCGCCGUAA
Molecule: ribosomal RNA, 504 nt
Filed under: uncultured bacterium
Lineage: Bacteria
Description: partial 16S ribosomal RNA
Rfam family: Bacterial small subunit ribosomal RNA
Source: RNAcentral